GGAAAUAUCAAAAGUAGAGGCCUCCAGGGUCUGCCUGCUCAUUUCCAGUUCUGGACUUGCCUGGGCAUGUGGGAAUUUUUGAAGUUGACCACUCCACCCAGGCUAGCCUAGUUCUCCAUAGCGGUUGCAGAAAUGCUUCUUAAAAGUCAGCCAAAAUGGGUAUCUCAUUUGCCCCAAAUGUUUGGCAGUAUUUGUGUAAGGGAUGCGGGUGGCGCUUUGGGGUAAAACCACAGAGCCUAGGACUUGCCGAUCAGAAGGUCGGCGGUUCGAAUCCCUGCGACGGGGUGAGCUCCCAUUGCUCGGUCCCUGCUCCUGCCAACCUAGCAGUUUGAAAGCACACCAGUGCAAGUAGAUAAAUAGGUACCGCUCCAGCGGGAAGGUAAACGGCGUUUCCGUGCGCUGCUCUGGUUCGCCAGAAGCGGCUUGGUCAUACUGGCCACAUGACCCAGAAGCUGUACGCCGGCCCCCUCGGCCAAUAAAGCGAGAUGAGCGCCGCAACCCCCAGAGUCGGCCAUGACUGGACCUAAUGGUCAGGGGUCCCUUUACCUUUACCUUAUUUGUGUAACAGACAGCAGAGAAUGCACUGGUAGCAGUUCUCUCUCCCUGCUGUGCUUGAUGCACCUAUAACUUUAGCUUGGGUGUGUCUGAAUCCCAUUGAUUCAGCUGGUUUGUUUGUUUUUUUCCCUCCAUAGCAGAGGCAGAACAUGAGUUUUUGCCCCCUGUGAAACCCCCACAGAUGUCGUCGGCCCGAAGGCAGCCUCUCUCCCAGCGCCUCUGCAGCCUUCUCACGCUCUUCAGAACAUCUCCCUCAAGCAUCCUUGGAUUGAAAUACAGAACAGAGUACAUAAUCUUUAUGGUAGCUGGCAGAGCCGGAGGGACAAUGGUGGCAUGUCUUGUUUUGAGGGAAUCCAAGAUGACCUUGAAAACGCAGCCGAUGAAGAGCAGGCAGAAACUGAAGCAGAAGAUGCAGGUACUUAUUUCUGCACGAUGGUGAGGACAUUUGAAAAUAGCAUUGUUUACUUGUUAGUCUCAGGGCCGGAUUUAGAUUUGAUGAGGCCCUAAGCCACUGAAGAGGGACGCGGGUGGCGCUGUGGGUUAAACCACAGAGCCUAGGACUUGCCGAUCAGAAGGUCGGCAGUUCGAAUCCCCGCGACAGGGUGAGCUCCCAUUGAGGAGAUUCCAAGAAUCUGCUGAUGUUCUCUGCUGAUUCUCCAGAGAGGAGGGGGGUGGUUUCUGCUCACUACUUAUUCCUCUCCAUCCUCACAUCAAGAGAGAGACUGAGUGUUAGAGAGAGUGUUAUCUCUGUAUAGAUAAGGUUGCUGCUAAGAGCAGCUGCUGACACUCAGUGCAGUUCAACUUCUCCAUUUAGCUCUGUAUAUAGUUUGUAUGAUAGUUGUAGAUAGAAUAAAAGUGGUUAUUCUACAGAGCUGUUCUCCAAGUGGUUUGUGCUCUGCUGUGCUCUGCUUUGCAACGACUGUCUUCAGGAGUGAAUCUGGUGCCCACAGCUCUGAGUUGUGAGUCCACAGCACUUAGACCUGUUCCUGUGCGGAAGGUGGUCUCUGGAAGUGCUACCCAGCUCGCCUGCCCAGUUGGGCUGAAGUGGAUGAGUCCAGUCGGUGGCACUGGCUCAAGGGCGAUGCUGACACCCAUUGCUGGGUCCCUGCUCCUGCCAACCUAGCAGUUCGAAAGCACCUCAAGGCGCAAGCAGAUAAAUAGGUACCGCUCUGGCGGGAAGGUAAACGGUGUUUCCGUGCACUGCUCUGGUUCGCCAGAAGCGGCUUAGUCAUGCUGGCCACAUGACCCAGAAGCUUUACACCAGCUCCCUCGGCCAAUAAAGCGAGAUGAGCGUCGCAACCCCAGAGUCGGCCACAACUGGACCUAAUGGUCAGGGGUCCCUUUACCUUUUAAGCCACUGAAGGUAAUGGGGCCCUUUAUAUGUCCAGCUGUCCUUUGUCAACAACAAAUUGUCGCUUUUUUGUGUUGAAUAUGUUGAAUGGUAAUUUAUGGACCUAAUAGGUACCUAAAGCCAUUUGCCCAUGCGGAAUGUAGGCACCCUGUAUAUAGAAAUGAGCAAACCAGUGAUAUUUUAGGGAGCAGGCUAGCAGGCGGGACCCAUGACUUACAUCAUAGGAGCCUACACAACACAAAACACUGUUGCUGUUUUAUUUUAUUUGUUUUUUAUCUUAUAUUUUGGAAAUGUACACCCAGUUUUUUUCCCCUUUAAAUUUUUUUUUGGGGGGGCCAAGAAAGUGGGGCCAUAAGCUAUAGCUUGUUUAGCUUAUACAUUAAUCCGACACUGGUUAUUCUGCACAGCUGUGAGGGAGAAACUGGGAAAAGUGAGCACAAAAGCCUUCAUUGAAGCCUCUGGGAUUUAUUCUGAGUAAAUAUCAGGGUUUAAUUAAGCAUUUCUAGGUAACCUGGGCAUAGACCCAUGGUAGCACAAACUUGCAAAAACAUUUGCACAUGCUAAGAUGCACCUAUAGAUGCAAAUGUCCAACUUUCAGAUGGGGGGGCGGGGGCACCUCUGACUCGAAUUUCUAUAAUACCUUGCUGUGUGAAUUCUGGGCCCAGUAUGCAGUACAGUGGUACCUUGGUACUCAAAUGCCUUAGUUCCCAAACGCCGAAAACCUGGAAGUAAGUGUUCCGGUUUUCAAACAUUUUUCAGAAGCCAAACAGCCCAUGCAGCUGUCGGCUAUU
Molecule: long non-coding RNA, 2697 nt
Filed under: Podarcis muralis (Common wall lizard)
Lineage: Eukaryota; Metazoa; Chordata; Lepidosauria; Squamata; Lacertidae
Description: lncRNA (ENSPMRG00000021624.1)
Source: RNAcentral